Molecule: ribosomal RNA, 1354 nt
Filed under: Lactiplantibacillus plantarum
Lineage: Bacteria; Bacillati; Bacillota; Bacilli; Lactobacillales; Lactobacillaceae
Description: bacterial SSU rRNA
Rfam family: Bacterial small subunit ribosomal RNA
Source: RNAcentral
CAUCAUGAUUUACAUUUGAGUGAGUGGCGAACUGGUGAGUAACACGUGGGAAACCUGCCCAGAAGCGGGGGAUAACACCUGGAAACAGAUGCUAAUACCGCAUAACAACUUGGACCGCAUGGUCCGAGUUUGAAAGAUGGCUUCGGCUAUCACUUUUGGAUGGUCCCGCGGCGUAUUAGCUAGAUGGUGAGGUAACGGCUCACCAUGGCAAUGAUACGUAGCCGACCUGAGAGGGUAAUCGGCCACAUUGGGACUGAGACACGGCCCAAACUCCUACGGGAGGCAGCAGUAGGGAAUCUUCCACAAUGGACGAAAGUCUGAUGGAGCAACGCCGCGUGAGUGAAGAAGGGUUUCGGCUCGUAAAACUCUGUUGUUAAAGAAGAACAUAUCUGAGAGUAACUGUUCAGGUAUUGACGGUAUUUAACCAGAAAGCCACGGCUAACUACGUGCCAGCAGCCGCGGUAAUACGUAGGUGGCAAGCGUUGUCCGGAUUUAUUGGGCGUAAAGCGAGCGCAGGCGGUUUUUUAAGUCUGAUGUGAAAGCCUUCGGCUCAACCGAAGAAGUGCAUCGGAAACUGGGAAACUUGAGUGCAGAAGAGGACAGUGGAACUCCAUGUGUAGCGGUGAAAUGCGUAGAUAUAUGGAAGAACACCAGUGGCGAAGGCGGCUGUCUGGUCUGUAACUGACGCUGAGGCUCGAAAGUAUGGGUAGCAAACAGGAUUAGAUACCCUGGUAGUCCAUACCGUAAACGAUGAAUGCUAAGUGUUGGAGGGUUUCCGCUCUUCAGUGCUGCAGCUAACGCAUUAAGCAUUCCGCCUGGGGAGUACGGCCGCAAGGCUGAAACUCAAAGGAAUUGACGGGGGCCCGCACAAGCGGUGGAGCAUGUGGUUUAAUUCGAAGCUACGCGAAGAACCUUACCAGGUCUUGACAUACUAUGCAAAUCUAAGAGAUUAGACGUUCCCUUCGGGGACAUGGAUACAGGUGGUGCAUGGUUGUCGUCAGCUCGUGUCGUGAGAUGUUGGGUUAAGUCCCGCAACGAGCGCAACCCUUAUUAUCAGUUGCCAGCAUUAAGUUGGGCACUCUGGUGAGACUGCCGGUGACAAACCGGAGGAAGGUGGGGAUGACGUCAAAUCAUCAUGCCCCUUAUGACCUGGGCUACACACGUGCUACAAUGGAUGGUACAACGAGUUGCGAACUCGCGAGAGUAAGCUAAUCUCUUAAAGCCAUUCUCAGUUCGGAUUGUAGGCUGCAACUCGCCUACAUGAAGUCGGAAUCGCUAGUAAUCGCGGAUCAGCAUGCCGCGGUGAAUACGUUCCCGGGCCUUGUACACACCGCCCGUCACACCAUGAGAGUUU